Molecule: long non-coding RNA, 267 nt
Organism: Papaver somniferum (opium poppy)
Lineage: Eukaryota; Viridiplantae; Streptophyta; Magnoliopsida; Ranunculales; Papaveraceae
Exons: 4
Source: RefSeq, a predicted model, not a curated record
AUAAAAUGAAGGUCCAAAAAUUGAACAUGCAGAGAAACACCAUAGCUCCAGACUUCGAGUCGCAAUGAAGGACUCAAGAAUCGAUAAUCAGAAACUCUAGAUGCUGAGAUCAGGAGGUGGUCGAAUCGAAUGAAUGCAAAGGAUAAUCGGCUCAUGCACAAGGAUUUUGAGUUACUAGGGAUUUGGGACUCCCUGACUUGAAUUUUUAAACAAUUGCAAUCUAAUUUUCUUUUAAGCAGUCAAAAAAUGUAUGACUGAAUUAAUAUC